This 253-nucleotide ribosomal RNA is filed under the name uncultured bacterium. RNAcentral describes it as "partial 16S ribosomal RNA". It matches the Rfam family "Bacterial small subunit ribosomal RNA", at positions 524 to 776 of the family's 1533-position model. The record is from RNAcentral.
UACAGAGGUCCCAAGCGUUGUUCGGAUUCACUGGGCGUAAAGGGUGCGUAGGCGGUCGGGUAAGUCUGACGUGAAAUCUCCAAGCUCAACUUGGAAAUGGCGUCGGAUACUAUUCGGCUCGAGGAGUGGAGGGGAGACUGGAAUUCUCGGUGUAGCAGUGAAAUGCGUAGAUAUCGAGAGGAACGCCAGUGGCGAAGGCGAGUCUCUGGACACUUCCUGACGCUGAGGCACGAAAGCCAGGGGAGCAAACGGG